AAAUUUUAAAAAUAUUUUAAUUUAAUAAUAUUAAUGUAUUUUGUUUGUGGGUUGGGCCUAUUGACCCUUCCCGGGCAUAGCCUCUUUGUUAAUACAGAAAAUGGAAGCCAGUGCUGCUGUUGUUGAGAAAUAAGAACAGAAGAGGCACUGAACAUAAAAUGAGAGACAAUGGACACUGUUAAAUCUCAAGAAUUAUUUGUCAUUUGCAACUCAACUCAACACAAUUUUUCACAAGUAAUAGAUAGCUCAAGUAGUAUUCUCAAUAUUCAAACUGGAAUAUGGCUACAUUGAGAAACUGUGAUAUUUGGUUUUAGAUCUCUACAAUCUUGGCCUUUGCUUCGCUGUUGCUGCCUCCACCACCAUCACUGUCUUUUGCGCCGCUUGCAGCGGCAGCAAUGGGUAGCUUGGGGUUGCUUUCGCCUCUUUCCAUGUGUUGAUUAGUUUGUUGAGUUGCAGAAGUAUCAGUUGAGGUCUCUGAGGAAUUGGGUUGAUUAGUUUUCUUUUCUUUCUUCUUGCAGGGAAUCAUGGAACAACAACACCAAGCUCCUAUCUCUAAGAUUAUCUCCAUCUUUCUUUAUCUGACUCCGAUCUUUCAUAGUUGCUCUCCGUCUUGAAUAUCCAACAAGGACACUCUGUUGAGUUGCUGAGUUUCAUACAAGUUGAGUCGAAAUUCUUAUAGUCAAAGAGUUAGAAGGAUUGGUUGGUUGACGCCAUUCCUUAAUCACCAGCCACAUAUUUGAUAUUUCUUUCAAACUUGGAAGUCAUUCACUUGGAGAUAAAAUGGUGUCCAUGAGAAUUAUUUUAAGCUACACUUGGCGGACAACGCCAAACCAAUAAAUGACUGCUACACAGGUAAAUGAGCGUAUAACUCUCCAUGUAGUUUCAAUUUGAAAUCAGACCAAUAAUUCCAGUUUCAGGAUCAGUAGGAUCAAAAGAUUCAAAACAAGAUCAAAGAUUCGCCACCUUUGCUUUCAGUUUUAAUUUUAAUUUGAUCCGAUUAAUUUCACCUUAUAGGAAAUGGUCAAUGAUGUAUAUCCCAGUAACCAUGCCAUAAAAAAAAUCCCAACUAAUUUUACUUGCUCAUUAUUUUCCACUGAAACCUUUAACUGGUUCAAAAUCAAACUAUUACAUCAAAAGUUCAACAACGAAGAAAAUAGAUAGCUAGAAUUUCAUAAGAUCACGCCUGAGACAUUGGAAGCUCACCACAGUCACUGAUCACCACCCUCUUUCUGGGACGGUCUCCUCUGUCCGUCUCUUGUGACUCAAUCAACUUCACAAUGUCCAUGCCUUCUAGAACUUGUCCGAAAACUACAUGCCUCUGAUCCAGCCAUGGGGUCUGCCAUUUGCCAAAUACAGAUGAAUAUAUAUAUAUCAAUACCUCAAGUCAGACAGCUGUAAUUGCAAAAAUCUUCUAAGCCUUGACUAACUAGUAAGCCUUUUAUAUGCUACAAUUGAUCAAAAGAAAUGCACAGUAACACUAAUAGAAUAUACAUGUCCAAUCAGUAUAACACCAAUAUCAGUUGCUCAAAAAAUAGAAAAAUGGGUCCAUAGUAAGCCAUUGCAUUAAAUUUUUAAGCACUUCAUGUCUUUUAAGUAGGUACAAUUCUGUUAACCACAAUCAAGAAGAGAAGCUAUGCUUGUAAAAUAAAAAUCAAUCUUGCAUUCUGGUAAUGACAUCAAGGUUCACAUCAGCAGUCUAAAGAACAAUUACAAAGGAAGGGUGGCAAAGAAACAAGAGAGGAUAAACAGGUUAAACAAAACCCCCAAACACUUUCUUCUAAUGUUCUGGCCCAACUAGUAUGGGCACAAACAAAUUUAAGCCUUUAACCACAUCAAGUUUUUUCCUCUCUCAAACGUCUUAGUGGAAGCUUCUUCAUUUAUUUAUUUAUUUUUUUUUU
Molecule: unclassified non-coding RNA, 1898 nt
Filed under: Hevea brasiliensis (rubber tree)
Lineage: Eukaryota; Viridiplantae; Streptophyta; Magnoliopsida; Malpighiales; Euphorbiaceae
Source: RNAcentral